AACUUUUUUGGGGGAAGGAGACGGCUGCACGCCCGCGGUCUCUUUGUUGCUGUGCUAACGACCGUUGGAACCCUCUUUUCCGGCUCUGAGAGGCUCCAGGUUUCUCCGCCAGAGCUCCUGUCGCUCUGUCACUUGCGCUGUGUUCCUCUCUAGUCACAAGAGCCUUGGGGAAGACAGUUGGAAGCUCAGACAUGCCCGCCUCAGCCUCCCAAAGUGCUGGGAUGACAGGCGUGAGCCACCAUGCCCAGCCGUAACUUAGAACUAUUUAAAGAGGCAAAGGCAGAGGAGAAUAAAGGAAGGAAGAAGUAACUCGUGGAAUGUUGAGAAAGGA
RNAcentral lists this small RNA (331 nucleotides) under Pongo abelii (Sumatran orangutan). RNAcentral describes it as "processed transcript". The record is from RNAcentral. Lineage: Eukaryota; Metazoa; Chordata; Mammalia; Primates; Hominidae.